RNAcentral lists this transfer RNA (72 nucleotides) under Acidobacteriota bacterium. Its description in RNAcentral is "Acidobacteria bacterium tRNA-Asp". It matches the Rfam family "tRNA". From Rfam's summary of the family: Transfer RNA (tRNA) molecules are approximately 80 nucleotides in length. Lineage: Bacteria; Pseudomonadati; Acidobacteriota. The record is from RNAcentral.
GGGCCCGUGGUGUAAUGGCAGCACAUUAACCUGUCCAGUUAAGAGGCGCGGGUUCGAGUCCCGCCGGGUCCA